RNAcentral lists this ribosomal RNA (228 nucleotides) under Triticum aestivum (bread wheat). RNAcentral's name for it is "partial small subunit ribosomal RNA". The record is from RNAcentral. Lineage: Eukaryota; Viridiplantae; Streptophyta; Magnoliopsida; Poales; Poaceae.
CAGGUGGAUAAGGGGAUUGCGCUGCUGAAGGUGGUGGGUAUGGUUGCCCAUAUGGCUGUGGCGGGUAAGGUUGCUGCCCAUAUGGCUGUGGUGGGUACGGUUGCCCGUAUGGCUGCGGUGGAUACGGUUGUCCAUAUGGCUGUGGUGGGUGACUUGUAGGAGGACCUCCCUGCUGCGGGUAUGGCUGCUGAGGAGGCGGAGUUGGGUAUGGCUGCUGAGGAGGCGGAG